GGAAACGGCGUCUAAUACCGGAUACGAGCUGCGAAGGCAUCUUCAGCAGCUGGAAAGAAUUUCGGUCAGGGAUGAGCUCGCGGCCUAUCAGCUUGUUGGUGAGGUAACGGCUCACCAAGGCGUCGACGGGUAGCCGGCCUGAGAGGGUGACCGGCCACACUGGGACUGAGACACGGCCCAGACUCCUACGGGAGGCAGCAGUGGGGAAUAUUGCACAAUGGGCGAAAGCCUGAUGCAGCAACGCCGCGUGAGGGACGACGGCCUUCGGGUUGUAAACCUCUUUUAGCAGGAAAGAAGCGAAAGUGACGGUACCUGCAGAAAAAGCGCCGGCUAACUACGUGCCAGCAGCCGCGGUAAUACGUAGGGCGCAAGCGUUAUCCGGAAUUAUUGGGCGUAAAGAGCUCGUAGGCGGUCUGUCGCGUCUGCUGUGAAAACCCGAGGCUCAACCUCGGGCCUGCAGUGGGUACGGGCAGACUAGAGUGCGGUAGGGGAGAUUGGAAUUCCUGGUGUAGCGGUGGAAUGCGCAGAUAUCAGGAGGAACACCGAUUGCGAAGGCAGAUCUCUGGGCCGUAACUGACGCUGAGGAGCGAAAGGGUGGGGAGCAAACAGGCUUAGAUACCCUGGUAGUCCACCCCGUAAACGUUGGGAACUAGUUGUGGGGUCCAUUCCACGGGUUCCGUGACGCAGCUAACGCAUUUAUAUUCCCCGCCUGGGGAGUACGGCCGCAAGGCGAAAACUCAAAAGGAAUUGACGGGGAACCGCACAACCGGCGGAGCAU
This 778-nucleotide ribosomal RNA is filed under the name Microbacterium sp. RAS75. RNAcentral describes it as "bacterial SSU rRNA". It matches the Rfam family "Bacterial small subunit ribosomal RNA", at positions 152 to 940 of the family's 1533-position model. Lineage: Bacteria; Bacillati; Actinomycetota; Actinomycetes; Micrococcales; Microbacteriaceae. The record is from RNAcentral.